Transfer RNA from Guillardia theta CCMP2712, 74 nucleotides. It matches the Rfam family "tRNA". Rfam says of the family: Transfer RNA (tRNA) molecules are approximately 80 nucleotides in length. Their secondary structure includes four short double-helical elements and three loops (D, anti-codon, and T loops). Further hydrogen bonds mediate the characteristic L-shaped molecular structure. tRNAs have two regions of fundamental functional importance: the anti-codon, which is responsible for specific mRNA codon recognition, and the 3' end, to which the tRNAs corresponding amino acid is attached (by aminoacyl-tRNA synthetases). tRNAs cope with the degeneracy of the genetic code in two manners: having more than one tRNA (with a specific anti-codon) for a particular amino acid; and 'wobble' base-pairing, i.e. permitting non-standard base-pairing at the 3rd anti-codon position. NCBI's taxonomy places the organism in Eukaryota, Cryptophyceae, Pyrenomonadales, Geminigeraceae. The record is from Rfam.
GCUUCCGUAGCUCAGUCGGUCAGAGCGAACGGCUGUUAACCGUUAGGUCGCAGGUUCGAGCCCUGCCGGGAGCG